GUCCUACUCUGCUCCAUUUACCUACAAAGCCAACUUAAACCCCUCUGAUAGGAAUUCGUCCCUCUUCCUAUUCUUCCUUCCCUUCCGUGGUCUGGCUUUCUUCGCAUCAGUUUUUUCUUUGCUAACACAGGGAGAAACAAGGCUUCCACGAAAAGCCUUCACUGCAAAAGGAGUCACAGAAAUAGGUUUCUCCACCCUCUUGACACUCUUUUCUUUCAGGUUAUACCAGACAAGGUUUCCAGCCUGCACACCCAGUAGAAGUUCAUCACCAUUCUUUGAGAAAGCUAAGGUUCUCAAACAUUUUAAAGGUGCUACUUCGUUGGGUGUGAUCACAAAG
Molecule: unclassified non-coding RNA, 337 nt
Filed under: Hevea brasiliensis (rubber tree)
Lineage: Eukaryota; Viridiplantae; Streptophyta; Magnoliopsida; Malpighiales; Euphorbiaceae
Source: RNAcentral